UACGGAGGGGACAAGCGUUAUUCGGAAUUAUUGGGCGUAAAGGGUGCGCAGGCGGCGUGCUAAGUGAGAAGUGAAAGCCCACGGCUCAACCGUGGAACGGCUUCUCAUACUGGCAUGCUAGAGUAUGGGAGAGGGAAGUGGAAUUUCCGGUGUAGCGGUGAAAUGCGUAGAGAUCGGAAGGAACACCCGUGGCGAAGGCGGCUUCCUGGACCAUGACUGACGCUGAGGCACGAAAGCGUGGGGAGCAAACAGG
This 253-nucleotide ribosomal RNA is filed under the name uncultured bacterium. Its description in RNAcentral is "partial 16S ribosomal RNA". It matches the Rfam family "Bacterial small subunit ribosomal RNA", at positions 524 to 776 of the family's 1533-position model. The record is from RNAcentral.